ACCAUCCUUCUCUUGGGGUUGUGCUAUUGUCCAGUGAGUGCAUGGUGAGGGCAUACUGCUAAUACCUACACAACAUGCUGACAUCAACCAGAGCUUUGCUUUAUAGUGGUGAUAUUUUUGGAAAA
Molecule: small nuclear RNA, 125 nt
Organism: Nycticebus coucang (slow loris)
Lineage: Eukaryota; Metazoa; Chordata; Mammalia; Primates; Lorisidae
Product: U4atac minor spliceosomal RNA
Exons: 1
Source: RefSeq, a predicted model, not a curated record